GUUCGAGCGUCAUUAUCAACCCUCAAGCUCUGCUUGGUCUUGGGCGGUCACGUCUGUCGUGCGUCUCAAAAUCAGUGGCGGCGCCCUUGGGCUCCCAGCGUAGUAAUGCUCUCGCUCCGGAGGCUCCAGGUGCACCCGCCAGCAAUACUUUCACCUCCAAGGUUGACCUCGGAUCAGGUAGGGAUACCCGCUGAACUUAA
Molecule: unclassified non-coding RNA, 200 nt
Filed under: soil metagenome
Description: partial contains internal transcribed spacer 2 and large subunit ribosomal RNA
Source: RNAcentral